RNAcentral lists this unclassified non-coding RNA (333 nucleotides) under Hevea brasiliensis (rubber tree). The record is from RNAcentral. Lineage: Eukaryota; Viridiplantae; Streptophyta; Magnoliopsida; Malpighiales; Euphorbiaceae.
GGUUUAUCAAGUUCUUGGGUCCUUACUACAUGCUGCUUAUUACACAAAGGAGGCCGAUUGGUGCUAUCUGUGGCCACAUUGUGUAUGCUGUCACCAAGAGCGACAUGUUUAUGAUUCCUAAUUCUUCUGUGCUGUCCAAUAUGGUUGAUAUGAGAAGUGAAAACAGGUACAGGAAACUCCUCUCUGCAGUGGAUCUUACAAAGGACUUCUUUUUCAGCUACUCUUAUCACAUCAUGCGUAGCCUUCAAAAAAAUUUAAGUCAUCACGAGUCUGGGCAAGUUUUGUAUGAGACAUUGUUUGUCUGGAAUGAAUUCUUGACACGUGGAAUUCGAA